AUGGUGAGGGACAUACUGGCCAAGCACUUGAUUGAAUCUAGAGAAACAUUAUCAUCUUCCAUGGUGGACGCAAAAGGAUUCCAGGCCAUGUACAAAAUGAGAAGAAGCACCUUCAAUCAAGUUUGCAGUUUGGUGAGGAUCUCAUUUUUGGAAGAUAUGAUGGCAAGGGAUCACACCUUUGUCGAUGGGAGAUUGUUGUCUUUGCAAGACAGAGUAGCUGUCGCACUGAGAAUGCUGAACUCUGGUGACUCUCCAGUUACCAUAGGAUCCUCUCUUGGCGUGGAAGAGUCAACUGUCUCGCUGCUAACUAAGGUCUUUGUUGAGGCUAUGUGGGACCGAGCAAUGCACCACUGCAGCUGGCCUGGCUCCACUAAAAUGGACAAGAUCAAGCACAAGUUUGACAAGAUGCACGGCCUGCCAAACUGCUGUGGUGUUGCACAUACAGAUCACAUCACGUUUGGAUCACAUAGUGGUGACCAUGAGGAGAAUGACAGCACGCUAAUGCAAGCCGUGGUUGAUCCAGAUAUGAGGUUCACAAACAUUUGGUUGGGGCCGUCAGGUAGCAUGAACCAGUUGAGCAUUUUGCACGAGUCUAGUCUCUUCAAGUUGAAUGGCAGUAAGCUGAAUUUAUCAGAUGACUUGGAAGUUGGGGAGUACAUAAUUUAUCCUCCCCUGGCUCCUCACACCUUACCACAUGGAAGACAAGGACCCGUCUGCAGAUUUCCCUCCUUAUCAAGCCGAGUUCAACAGGAGACAUUCUUCAGCAUCAACCAUCAUGAUGGCUGCACUCACGAGGUUGAAAGACACUUGGAAGAUCCUAGACAGCGCGGUUGGUUCAUGUCCACCUUUUGCAACAAUCUAUGCAUGUUGCAUACUGCAUAA
Molecule: ribosomal RNA, 882 nt
Filed under: Triticum aestivum (bread wheat)
Lineage: Eukaryota; Viridiplantae; Streptophyta; Magnoliopsida; Poales; Poaceae
Description: partial small subunit ribosomal RNA
Source: RNAcentral